GAGUUUGAUCAUGGCUCAGAUUGAACGCUGGCGGCAGGCCUAACACAUGCAAGUCGAACGGUAACAGGAAGAAGCUUGCUUCUUUGCUGACGAGUGGCGGACGGGUGAGUAAUGUCUGGGAAACUGCCUGAUGGAGGGGGAUAACUACUGGAAACGGUAGCUAAUACCGCAUAACGUCGCAAGACCAAAGAGGGGGACCUUCGGGCCUCUUGCCAUCGGAUGUGCCCAGAUGGGAUUAGCUAGUAGGUGGGGUAACGGCUCACCUAGGCGACGAUCCCUAGCUGGUCUGAGAGGAUGACCAGCCACACUGGAACUGAGACACGGUCCAGACUCCUACGGGAGGCAGCAGUGGGGAAUAUUGCACAAUGGGCGCAAGCCUGAUGCAGCCAUGCCGCGUGUAUGAAGAAGGCCUUCGGGUUGUAAAGUACUUUCAGCGGGGAGGAAGGGAGUAAAGUUAAUACCUUUGCUCAUUGACGUUACCCGCAGAAGAAGCACCGGCUAACUCCGUGCCAGCAGCCGCGGUAAUACGGAGGGUGCAAGCGUUAAUCGGAAUUACUGGGCGUAAAGCGCACGCAGGCGGUUUGUUAAGUCAGAUGUGAAAUCCCCGGGCUCAACCUGGGAACUGCAUCUGAUACUGGCAAGCUUGAGUCUCGUAGAGGGGGGUAGAAUUCCAGGUGUAGCGGUGAAAUGCGUAGAGAUCUGGAGGAAUACCGGUGGCGAAGGCGGCCCCCUGGACGAAGACUGACGCUCAGGUGCGAAAGCGUGGGGAGCAAACAGGGUUAGAUACCCUGGUAGUCCACGCCGUAAACGAUGUCGACUUGGAGGUUGUGCCCUUGAGGCGUGGCUUCCGGAGCUAACGCGUUAAGUCGACCGCCUGGGGAGUACGGCCGCAAGGUUAAAACUCAAAUGAAUUGACGGGGGCCCGCACAAGCGGUGGAGCAUGUGGUUUAAUUCGAUGCAACGCGAAGAACCUUACCUGGUCUUGACAUCCACAGAACUUUCCAGAGAUGGAUUGGUGCCUUCGGGAACUGUGAGACAGGUGCUGCAUGGCUGUCGUCAGCUCGUGUUGUGAAAUGUUGGGUUAAGUCCCGCAACGAGCGCAACCCUUAUCUUUUGUUGCCAGCGGUCCGGCCGGGAACUCAAAGGAGACUGCCAGUGAUAAACUGGAGGAAGGUGGGGAUGACGUCAAGUCAUCAUGGCCCUUACGACCAGGGCUACACACGUGCUACAAUGGCGCAUACAAAGAGAAGCGACCUCGCGAGAGCAAGCGGACCUCAUAAAGUGCGUCGUAGUCCGGAUUGGAGUCUGCAACUCGACUCCAUGAAGUCGGAAUCGCUAGUAAUCGUGGAUCAGAAUGCCACGGUGAAUACGUUCCCGGGCCUUGUACACACCGCCCGUCACACCAUGGGAGUGGGUUGCAAAAGAAGUAGGUAGCUUAACCUUCGGGAGGGCGCUUACCACUUUGUGAUUCAUGACUGGGGUGAAGUCGUAACAAGGUAACCGUAGGGGAACCUGCGGUUG
This 1521-nucleotide ribosomal RNA is filed under the name metagenome. RNAcentral's name for it is "bacterial SSU rRNA". It matches the Rfam family "Bacterial small subunit ribosomal RNA". The record is from RNAcentral.